GAUGAACGCUGGCGGCGUGCCUAAUACAUGCAAGUCGAGCGAACGGACGAGAAGCUUGCUCCUCUGAUGUUAGCGGCGGACGGGUGAGUAACACGUGGAUAACCUACCUAUAAGACUGGGAUAACUUCGGGAAACCGGAGCUAAUACCGGAUAAUAUUUUGAACCGCAUGGUUCAAGAGUGAAAGACGGUCUUGCUGUCACUUAUAGAUGGAUCCGCGCUGCAUUAGCUAGUUGGUAAGGUAACGGCUUACCAAGGCAACGAUGCAUAGCCGACCUGAGAGGGUGAUCGGCCACACUGGAACUGAGACACGGUCCAGACUCCUACGGGAGGCAGCAGUAGGGAAUCUUCCGCAAUGGGCGAAAGCCUGACGGAGCAACGCCGCGUGAGUGAUGAAGGUCUUCGGAUCGUAAAACUCUGUUAUUAGGGAAGAACAUAUGUGUAAGUAACUGUGCACAUCUUGACGGUACCUAAUCAGAAAGCCACGGCUAACUACGUG
RNAcentral lists this ribosomal RNA (497 nucleotides) under uncultured bacterium. RNAcentral's name for it is "partial 16S ribosomal RNA". It matches the Rfam family "Bacterial small subunit ribosomal RNA", at positions 28 to 507 of the family's 1533-position model. The record is from RNAcentral.